UUGGAGGGCAAGUCUGGUGCCAGCAGCCGCGGUAAUUCCAGCUCCAAUAGCGUAUAUUAAAGUUGUUGCAGUUAAAAAGCUCGUAGUUGAAUUUCGGGGUCAGUGGGUUGGUCGUGCCACUGGUAUGUACUGGCCCUACUGAUUCCUCCUUCUUGAAGAACUGUAAUGCCAUUAAUUUGGUGUUGCAGGGAAACAGGACUGUUACUUUGAAAAAAUUAGAGUGUUUAAAGCAGGCAAUCGCUUGAAUACAUUAGCAUGGAAUAAUGAAAUAGGACGAUCGAUCCUAUUUUGUUGGUUUCUAGGAUUGACGUAAUGAUUAAUAGGGAUAGUUGGGGGCAUUAGUAUUCAAUUGUCAGAGGUGAAAUUCUUGGAUUUAUUGAAGACUAACUACUGCGAAAGCAUUUGCCAAGGAUGUUUUCAUUAAUCAAGAACGAAAGUUAGGGGAUCGAAGACGAUCAGAUACCGUCGUAGUCUUAACCAUAAACUAUGCCGACUAGGGAUCGGAUGAUGUUAAUUUUUUAAUGACUCAUUCGGCGCCUUACGGGAAAC
RNAcentral lists this ribosomal RNA (549 nucleotides) under uncultured Glomeromycotina. Its description in RNAcentral is "SSU rRNA". It matches the Rfam family "Eukaryotic small subunit ribosomal RNA", at positions 548 to 1098 of the family's 1831-position model. Lineage: Eukaryota; Fungi; Glomeromycota. The record is from RNAcentral.